GAUGACGUCACACACUGUAAUACUGUCAGAGGUACUGCUUUACGGCAGUUUCUAAAGCACUUCCCUUGUCCCGCAACGAUAACACCAGCUGUUGGAGUCGGACCUUGAUGCUGUGACAACGGACAAGUCUUCUUCCUCUGUCCUUUUCCCCUGCCUCUGUUCAGUAUGUUCAGUGUUGUUAAAUCAUUUCUCUUUUCUUUUAUAAGUUACUGUUCUUAUUGUGUUCUUGUUAGUGUAAUGUUUGAAUAAACUUGCCUGUUGCAAUGUUGGUAUAAUGUUUGUAUAAUUACUGUUAUACAACUGUUACUGUUUCAAUGUGACCCAGACCAUAUUUCUCAUUUAACAAACAUGUGUAGCUUAUAAUGUGUUGCAUGGCAGAGCAAUUACGGUAUAU
Long non-coding RNA from Gadus chalcogrammus (walleye pollock), 394 nucleotides. RefSeq lists it as uncharacterized. The record is from RefSeq and is a predicted model, not a curated record. NCBI's taxonomy places the organism in Eukaryota, Metazoa, Chordata, Actinopteri, Gadiformes, Gadidae. The transcript has 2 exons.